This 253-nucleotide ribosomal RNA is filed under the name uncultured Sphingobacteriales bacterium. RNAcentral's name for it is "partial 16S ribosomal RNA". It matches the Rfam family "Bacterial small subunit ribosomal RNA", at positions 1131 to 1382 of the family's 1533-position model. The record is from RNAcentral. Lineage: Bacteria; Pseudomonadati; Bacteroidota; Sphingobacteriia; Sphingobacteriales.
CUGGGGACUCUAAUGAAACUGCCUACGCAAGUAGUGAGGAAGGUGGGGAUGACGUCAAAUCAGCACGGCCCUUACGUCCAGGGCUACACACGUGCUACAAUGGCCGGUACAACGGGCAGCUACCUGGUGACAGGAUGCAAAUACUCCAAAGUCGGUCUCAGUUCGGAUCGGAGUCUGCAACCCGACUCCGUGAAGUUGGAUUCGCUAGUAAUCGCGCAUCAGCCAUGGCGCGGUGAAUACGUUCCCGGGCCUU